GCGCGAAAACUUUACAAUGCUGGCAACAGCGAUAAGGGAACCUCGCGUGCCAGGUUACAAAUCUGGCUGUCGAGAUGCCUAAAAAGCAUUUCAUAGCAAGGGCCGGGCAAGACCGGUGCCAGCCGCCGCGGUAACACCGGCGGCUCGAGUGGUCACCGUUAUUAUUGGGUCUAAAGGGUCUGUAGCCGGCCGGAUAAGUCUCUUGAGAAAUCUGGCAGCUUAACUGUCAGGCUUUCAGGAGAUACUGUCUGGCUCGAGGACGGGAGAGGUGAGAGGUACUUCAGGGGUAGGGGUGAAAUCUUGUAAUCCGUGAAGGACCACCAGUGGCGAAGGCGUCUCACCAGAACGGACCUGACGGCAAGGGACGAAAGCUAGGGGCACGAACC
Molecule: ribosomal RNA, 386 nt
Filed under: uncultured prokaryote
Description: bacterial SSU rRNA
Rfam family: Archaeal small subunit ribosomal RNA
Source: RNAcentral